CAAAUCCCAGUGGUCCCAGAUCACUGGAUCCCAGUGGUACCAGAUACUGGAGAGCCAAAUCCCAGCGGUGCCGGAUCCCCAGAUUCCAGUGGUGCCAGAUCCCCAUGAUGCUGGAUAUUGGAAAGCCAAAUCCCAGUGGUCCCAGAUCCCGGUGGUACCGGCCAUCUCUGCCGGAUCCCUGGAUCCCAGUGGUACCAGAUACUGGAAAGCCAAAUCCCAGUGGUCCCAGAUCCCCAGAUCCUGGUGGUACUGGCCAUCUUGGCUGGAUUCCUGGAUCCCUGGAUGCCAGUGAUGCCAGAUCUCCGAGAGCCAAAUCCCAGUGGUCCUGGAUUCCCGGAUCCCAGUGGUUCUGGAUGUCCAAGAGCCAAAUCCCAGCGGUACCGGAUCCUUGAAUCCUGGUGGUGCCAGAUCCCCAUGAUGCUGGAUAUUGGAGAGCCAAAUCCCAGUGGUCCCAGAUCCCCAGAUCCCAGUGGUACCGGCCAUCUCUGCUGGAUUCCUGGAUCCCUGGAUCCCAGUGAUGCCAGAUCUCCGAGAGCCAAAUCCCAGCGGUGCCGGAUCCCCAGAUCCUGGUGGUGCUGGAUACUGGAGAGCCAAAUCCCAGUAGUGCCAGA
This 611-nucleotide long non-coding RNA is filed under the name Calidris pugnax (ruff). RNAcentral describes it as "lncRNA (ENSCPUG00000010631.1)". Lineage: Eukaryota; Metazoa; Chordata; Aves; Charadriiformes; Scolopacidae. The record is from RNAcentral.